GACGAACGCUGGCGGCGUGCUUAACACAUGCAAGUCGAACGGAAAGGCCCUGCUUUUGUGGGGUGCUCGAGUGGCGAACGGGUGAGUAACACGUGAGUAACCUGCCCUUGACUUUGGGAUAACUUCAGGAAACUGGGGCUAAUACCGGAUAGGAGCUCCUGCUGCAUGGUGGGGGUUGGAAAGUUUCGGCGGUUGGAGAUGGACUCGCGGCUUAUCAGCUUGUUGGUGGGGUAGUGGCUUACCAAGGCUUUGACGGGUAGCCGGCCUGAGAGGGAGACCGGCCACAUUGGGACUGAGAUACGGCCCAGACUCCUACGGGAGGCAGCAGUGGGGAAUAUUGCACAAUGGGCGGAAGCCUGAUGCAGCAACGCCGCGUGCGGGAUGACGGCCUUCGGGUUGUAAACCGCUUUCGCCUGUGACGAAGCGUGAGUGACGGUAAUGGGUAAAGAAGCACCGGCUAACUACGUG
Molecule: ribosomal RNA, 468 nt
Filed under: uncultured bacterium
Lineage: Bacteria
Description: partial 16S ribosomal RNA
Rfam family: Bacterial small subunit ribosomal RNA
Source: RNAcentral